RNAcentral lists this ribosomal RNA (522 nucleotides) under Clostridioides difficile. Its description in RNAcentral is "bacterial SSU rRNA". It matches the Rfam family "Bacterial small subunit ribosomal RNA", at positions 1017 to 1533 of the family's 1533-position model. The record is from RNAcentral. Lineage: Bacteria; Bacillati; Bacillota; Clostridia; Peptostreptococcales; Peptostreptococcaceae.
CUUCGGGGACAUUGGUGACAGGUGGUGCAUGGUUGUCGUCAGCUCGUGUCGUGAGAUGUUGGGUUAAGUCCCGCAAAGAGCGCAACCCUUGUCUUUAGUUGCCAUCAUUAAGUUGGGCACUCUAGAGAGACUGCCAGGGAUAACCUGGAGGAAGGUGGGGAUGACGUCAAAUCAUCAUGCCCCUUAUGCUUAGGGCUACACACGUGCUACAAUGGGUAGUACAGAGGGUUGCCAAGCCGUAAGGUGGAGCUAAUCCCUUAAAGCUACUCUCAGUUCGGAUUGUAGGCUGAAACUCGCCUACAUGAAGCUGGAGUUACUAGUAAUCGCAGAUCAGAAUGCUGCGGUGAAUGCGUUCCCGGGUCUUGUACACACCGCCCGUCACACCACGGGAGUUGGAGACGCCCGAAGCCGAUUAUCUAACCUUUUGGAAGAAGUCGUCGAAGGUGGAAUCAAUAACUGGGGUGAAGUCGUAACAAGGUAGCCGUAUCGGAAGGUGCGGCUGGAUCACCUCCUUUCUAAGGA